Molecule: non-coding RNA, 72 nt
Organism: Phrynosoma platyrhinos (Desert horned lizard)
Lineage: Eukaryota; Metazoa; Chordata; Lepidosauria; Squamata; Phrynosomatidae
Source: the annotation of a GenBank genome assembly
GCCAGUGUGGUGCAGUGGUUUGAGCGUUGGUCUAUGACCCUGAAGAUCACGGUUCAAAUCCUAGCUUGGCCA